RNAcentral lists this small nuclear RNA (357 nucleotides) under Neogale vison (American mink). Its description in RNAcentral is "Neovison vison (American mink) 7SK RNA (ENSNVIG00000019946.1)". It matches the Rfam family "7SK RNA". Rfam says of the family: 7SK was discovered as an abundant small nuclear RNA in the mid-70s but a possible function has only recently been suggested. The record is from RNAcentral. Lineage: Eukaryota; Metazoa; Chordata; Mammalia; Carnivora; Mustelidae.
GGAUGUGAGGGCGAUCUGGCUGCGACAUCUGUCACCCCAUUGAUCGCCAGGGUUGAUUCGGCUGAUCUGGCUGGCUAGGCGGGUGUCCCCUUCCUCCCUCACCGCUCCAUGUGCGUCCCUCCCGAAGCUGCGCGCUCGGUCGAAGAGGACGACCAUCCCCGAUAGAGGAGAGGACCAUUCUCCGGUCAAGGGUAUACGAGUAGCUGCGCUCCCCUGCUAGAACCUCCAAACAAGCUCUCAUUGGUAACCUCACAUACUUCAACACUCUUUCAGAGAAAAUUGGGAGGUGAGGGAAAGACAGAUGAAAAUGUGCCAGUGAAAGAGAACCAAAGCAAUCUUCUGGAGAUGCAUUAGGAU